Butyrivibrio proteoclasticus is the source of this 89-nucleotide non-coding RNA. Lineage: Bacteria; Bacillati; Bacillota; Clostridia; Lachnospirales; Lachnospiraceae. The record is from Rfam.
GGAGUUGUACCCAAGUGGUUGAAGGGUCCGGAUUCGAAAUCCGGUAGGUCGGCUCGUCCGGCGCAGGGGUUCAAAUCCCCUCAACUCCG